RNAcentral lists this ribosomal RNA (552 nucleotides) under uncultured Helotiales. RNAcentral describes it as "eukaryotic LSU rRNA". It matches the Rfam family "Eukaryotic large subunit ribosomal RNA", at positions 1 to 561 of the family's 3401-position model. Lineage: Eukaryota; Fungi; Ascomycota; Leotiomycetes; Helotiales. The record is from RNAcentral.
UUGACCUCGGAUCAGGUAGGGAUACCCGCUGAACUUAAGCAUAUCAAUAAGCGGAGGAAAAGAAACCAACAGGGAUUACCUCAGUAACGGCGAGUGAAGCGGUAACAGCUCAAAUUUGAAAGCUGCCAACAGGCCGCGUUGUAAUUUGUAGAAGCUGCUUUGGGUGUCGGCCCGGUCUAAGUUCCUUGGAACAGGACGUCAUAGAGGGUGAGAAUCCCGUAUGUGAUCGGUGCCGUUGCCCGUGUAAAGCGCUUUCGACGAGUUGAGUUGUUUGGGAAUGCAGCUCAAAAUGGGUGGUAAAUUUCAUCUAAAGCUAAAUAUUGGCCAGAGACCGAUAGCGCACAAGUAGAGUGAUCGAAAGAUGAAAAGCACUUUGGAAAGAGAGUUAAACAGUACGUGAAAUUGUUGAAAGGGAAGCGCUUGCAACCAGACUUGCGGGCGGUCGAUCAUCCGAGGUUCUCCCCGGUGCACUCGAUCGUUCUCAGGCCAGCAUCGGUUUCCGGGGUGGGAUAAAGGCGGUGGGAAUGUGGCUCUUCGGAGUGUUAUAGCCCA